AUUUGCUCCAUGGGCUAAGAUCAAAACCCCACGUGUGUCUUUGGCUGCAUGCCAGGGUCUCAGAGCCCCCUGCCGGCGGCUCUGGCCAUCCAGGGCACCCAGAGGAGAGUCCUGGGUUCCCACAUCAGGGCAGUUUGGUACAGAAAAUGUCCUGUAAAAAGUGUAGAUUGUUCACUGGGACAAAGGUUUAAGAAGUAAUCGAGUUAUAGGGGAUUAAAAAGAGGUUAAGGGCUUUACUUCAAUAGUGUAGAAUUAGUUAAGGACUUGAUACUGUUUUUUAGCUGUGUAUUACUGUUCUGAAUGAUUUUUGGCUUGAGUUGUUAGGAACAGGUAUUUGUAAUGACUGGCUGCCAAGUAGAUUUGUAGGACAGGGAAGAAUCCUGAAAUCUUUAAACAGUAUGUAUUAGCUUUCUGAGAAGAGUUUGUGUUAAAAAAUAAAACAAAUAUGAAAUAAUUAUUCCACAUUGUCCUUUGAUUUACUAUUUCUCACCUAGUUCAUUGUCAUUGCUCAGUUUAUGUUGUUUUCUCUCUAUUUACUUUCUUCCACACAGCAAUUAAAUCAGCAUUCUUGGGAAAAAGCUUAAGAGCAAUUUAAAGGGUUUCUAAAGAAAAAUUGCUGGUUUAUAAUCACAUGAGUAUUGUUUCAUGAUUUCUUCUGAGAAUGGAACAGCACAAUUUGUGAGCAAAUAUUCAGCCAAAGGCAUUUAAGUACCCAGAGUUCUUACCCUAUGGAUGUCUAGUUACCCCCUAUAGGCAGCCCACUAUCUGUGUUUGUUUGGAGAAGUGGAAUUUAUGUGAUUCUUUUACUAGAUUAGAUUCCAAGUUAAUUUCUAGGAGUCUGUACUUUACUACACUAAAAAUAGCUUGCUUAUUUCCUUAAAUCACUUAGUAACCUGAUGAAAAUAAGACUGAGUGCCAAGUCUUAAUUUUCACAGCAACCAUUAAUGUUUGAACAGGUUAAGUGCAUCCUGAAAUAUCAGUGAUGAAAUGGUCAGGUAUUACGAUUUGUUAAUAUAGCAUUGUAAAGGUUAUAUAAUUUUCAAGUCCAGUACCAUUGACCAAUACUGGGAUAAGUUGGUAUCAGUCUUAGAGGGGAUCUGACGCUGGAUUUCUCAGUUGAACUGAAGUAACUGCAGUCAUCAGUUAGUUAAUCAGCACUGGGACUGAUUUCUGCAUACUGAAUUUGAAUGUCUCACAUCUUGAGUGCUCUGUGUUCUGUCCAGAGGUCUGUGGCUAAUGUAAGCCUGUGAACGAGCUUCCUGUGAAAUCACUUGUUGUGAUUCCAUUAAAUAAGAUUAUUAAUUUGUUUUGAGAUUGUUGCUAUCUGGCCAGUUUCUCUUUUUGCUGUUCAUUCCAAAAGUGGAGGGUUGUUUUUUAAUAGAUGAAAUGUUUGCUUUUGGCAUGGGUAAUGCUUUACUGGUGGGUUUGAUAUGACAGUAUUACUUGGACUUUUCUGAGAAAGUUAAGCUCUGCUAUUUUGGAAAGAUUAAUUGUAGCACCAUUUACUUUGACAGCCUAAUUCACAUUUCAUACACACAAAAAAAGGAAAUAUGAUAAACUGUCGAACUACUGUAGUGUCUAAAAUGAUUUUUUUUAAAGAAAACGGUAAAACCACUGGAUUUUUUGACCACUGAAACUUGCAGCCUUCUUUUAAAUUAAGUAUCUCAUUACUGAUGCAGUAUAAGUACCCAAAGCAUAGAAUUUGUGGAGGGAUCUGCUGUGCAGGAGCAAAUAAUGUUAGUGCCAGUAAAUAUCAGAUCAGGUGUGUAAAAACAUGUAGAUUAAUUUCUAGAUUGUUAUUUGCAGGUAUAACUAGCAUGAGAAAACUGUUAUUUUCAAUUUUUUAAAAUUUAUUCAGGAGGUAUAUACAUCAAAAAACCCAAAAUCUUUUCAGUAGUUAACAUAGUUUAUCAUAUUUGGACAUGUUUCAAAAUUUUAAGUUAAACAGAAAAGUUAGAAAUAAGAUUGUGUUAGAAUUUAAGAAGGUACUCAGUUUCUGCAGCUUCAGCUAUGUAUCCCAUCUUUUUAGUGUACUCUCCUGUGCCUAAAAAUUCUGUAUUUCCUUAUAUCUAGACACAAGCCACUCACCCCUUCCUGUGAUACAGUUCUUUUAAAGUUAAAAGUUUCUGUAACACACAAAUCAACAGUUUAUUUCGAACACUGGCUUACAGUACAUGAAUUGUAGGAACUUGCCUUGUUUGGAAACUUACUUGUUCUUCUGCAGAUGUGUUUUCUUUGUAGGUCUUUCACAAUAACUUGCUGAAGAAUAAGCAAUAACUAAUCAAGAGCAGCAGAAAUCAAGAGCAUGACCUCAUUUUUUUUAUAUCUUAGGGGAGCACUUAGUGUAUGAAAUGUAAUUUGAAUAUCAUGAACUGUGGGCCAGGUGUCUUUUAGCAGCCAACUCCUGUAGUUUAUGUGCUUGCAUUCAGCUAGAGCUGCUACUCUGAAAACACUAUUCUGAAAUAGAUUUGUGUGUUUUUUGAGUAUCUUGGGAAAGUUUUGUGUUGCUAAGAAAUUGUUUCAGGUUCUGUAGGGCUAUUGAUGAAUUCAACAGAAGAUGAAAGUGGCUUUAAAAUUGAACACGUGUAGAAAGCACUCAGUUUCUAGAUAAAAAGUAGCCUUGUCCAGUGGGAUUUCUGUAUUGUUUUCUUAUAAAAUGUGGACUUUUUGAUGUAAAAUUAAUUAUUUUCAGCAAAUCUGAUGAUUUUCGCUGGAAUGUUUGAAACUGUAAGCAGUCAGUUUGUCUUCAUUAAGACUUUUUUGUAGGAAGUGAAGUUAGAGAAAUGUGGUAUGGAAAGUUUGUUGGAUGCUCAUGGACUUGUAGUAUUAACUGUUACACAGCACUAUCUGUGAGAAAAAAAAAAAAUCACCAGAAGUACUGUUUAUAUGUGAAAGGUUCUCAUGGGUUGUAGUGAAUUCAAGGUAGAACUCUGACCUAAGAACAAAAAUGGUGUACUCUAUCAGGUUAUUGAAAAAAAACCCCUCUGAAUACCAGAUGGAAUGUAUUGCUCUGUGUGAGUGCUGUUAGGCACUUCCAGUUCUCACAGUUGUUUCACAAUGCUGUAGUUUAUUUGUGUGCAGUGUGUUUUUUGGUGGUUUCUGUCAGUAGCUUGCUGCCCCACAUCACUGAUUUGGAGCAAAAGUGUGAUACUGCAGCGUGGUUUGACAAUAGGCAUCGUAUUUCUUGAUGGAUUGUGUUGACAUGUAGAGAUGUUUAUGAUUCUUGGCUUGUAUUUUUAAAAUGCCCAAAUGAACCCAAAUGACUAAGCAACCAAUAAAGCAGCAACUUGAUGCAUGUAAUUAAGUUUUCUUGUUAUUAAGUUAGCAUUUGGAUUUGGUUGCUUGGUGAAUAAUUCUUUAGCAUACCUAGGCUAUUUAAAGGGACAAAAUAAAUAUGCUUAAUGUUUUCUUUCUGGUUUUAAGACGUAAUUUCAUAUGCUUUACAUCGUCACAUAUUUUACUGUUAGUUUUUAUUGGUCUGCUACAAUGUUUUUCAUAUCUUUGUGUCUUAUGUUUACUUUCAUGUUGCUUUAUUAGGUAACUAAUGGAACAAAAGAAGUUGAGUGCUUCUCUAGGGGAAACAGGAAAAUAAAAUGUUGAUAUAUAUACAACAAGCACUAGAAGGAUAUUCUCACUGAUGUAAAAAUUAUAGCAACACUAUGGUAAUUUCUUCAUAACUGGAUUUUUAAAGCCAAUGUUAGGUUUUUUAGAUUUAUUUAGGCGCAAAACAGCGGGGCAAAUAUGUGGCUGUUUGCAGAAGUAGCAGGUUUUUUAUUUUUUAGUGUGUGCAUAAAUAUACACAUGGUGGAUUUUUUUGGUAUAAAAUUCCUUUGACUGGUAACUGUAUGUCUGAGACACUGAUAUUCUCUUUUUUUUGGCUCGCAAGAAAAAAAAAAGAUGAGUCUGGAUGGUCAUUUUUGCAUCUUCUGUAAUUCUAAUUACAGAGCUAAACUUGAGGAAAGGCUGGUGUAGGUUCUUUUUAUUGUAUACAUUGCCACGUAUGAUGUGGCAUAAAUUAAGCUUAUAGGAAAAUUAAAAGCUUUUUUAUUUGUUCGGUUUUGUUGGGUUUUUUUCUUUCUCUUGCAGUCAAAAAUUAAAAGUUUGUGUUGUUUUGCUUUAAAAGGACUCUUGAAAAGAUACUGACUUCUUCAGUUUGUCAUGUGUAUAAGUAAAGCUCUUGUCUCAUGUAGAAAUAUUUCAUUUAAGUUGUGGAUACCAGGAAGAGUUAAAUCAGUUUGUGGUAAAUCAACAGCAUAUUAUCCUUGCUGUAUCAAUUAUAGUGAGGAAAGAGAGAACCUUGGGAGAACUUUUCUCUCCAAAUGUAAAUGGAAGAUCUUACUAAAACUCUAUUCUUUACUUACAAAAAGUAUUUGUCAUCAGGGCAUCUGUCACUCCUAGGGGUAUUAGUUUCUAGUAAGCACAUUGUCUAUCAGUGAUGGAAAUACAUCUUCGAGUUUCAUGUUGAAGAGUUACAGAAACAGGUAAUAUUUUUCUGAAGUAAGAGUAAUCUUUUAAAUUGAGUCCUGAUUACAAAAUUCCUAUCAACAACUGAUACGUGUAUAUGAUGAUUAAUGUAAAAUAAGUAGGUAUAGAGAGCAAAUGUUUCAGCUCUUCCUUCUGGUAUCUCCCUGUGGAGAGACUAAAAGUACAUCUAGGUGGCAAAAUGCUCUCAAGAGAUGCGUGUAACGAGUGAGGCUAUGGAGGUAAUAAUAAUAAUAAUAAUAUAGAAAUAUCAGAGCUCUAGUAAUGCAGAGCAGUAAAUAAGCAAGUUUAUCUUAUUUCUGAGCAAUGCCUAAAAAAGCAAUGUAUGCUCACUCUUUCAGUGAUUUUGGUAUUUGAAUUUGGUGUGCAGAGGUGAUUUGAAUGGAUCUGUGUGGUACUUUGAACAAAAUAUGUAGUUUUACAUAUUUUAUGUAAAUAUGCACCUUUUUUUGGUGUAAAAGUGCUAAAGUGCCUUUGUAUAAAGUAGCGUAAUAUAAACCUUAUUUUUACUCCCUCCAAGUGCAAACUGAAUGCAGAACAGUUAGCCAGCUUGCUUGUAGGCAGGAGUUAGUCCAUUGAGCUUAUUUUUGAACAACAGCCACCAAAGAAUUGUAUGUAUUGUGGUAGCAGGAUAUGCAUUAUUGUUGCUUUCCGAAACCAAAAAAGGUUCAGUGGCAAUGUUGUACAAGUGGAUUGUUGGUGUGCAAUUAUUUGGAGGCAACUGAAAAUCACUGCUAUUAUUAAAAAAGUUCCAAAUAUAUUUAGCUUAUUCAUUGUUAACCCUGAAACUUGAAAAAAUAUUUCAGUUGUUGGUGUCCCAAUUUUUUCCCUUGCUAACUAAAUUUUAAUUCAAAUGAAAAAGAAGUGUUUUAAAGAACGUAUUUGACACAUUUCAGACUUUUUUUCUUUCAGUAAUGCUUCCAAACUCUCCAAAGGCUUAUAAGUAUCAGACAAAAAUCCCAGGCAGAUCAGGGGCUCUUUUUACUAAUGCUAUUCAUAAAGCAGCUAUGCUGCUACAGAAAUUUUGAUACUUCAGCUGGGACUUAAUUCCGGACUCCUCAAAGGGUAGAAGUAUUUUUUGAUUUUCAGAGUACAUGUUUUCUUUGACUCUUUUUAUUCUAGCAACUGAAGGAGGUAUGAGAGGAGGAAAGAUUCCUUAAUUUGUGGGGGAAAUUUAAUUAGGCAUUUUUUGGCCAUGAUUAACCUCACUUCUGAGGUAAAGAAUGAAGAGCAAAGAGAAGGAUUAAAUUGAGAGGGGAAAAUAAGUGCACACCCUGAAAACAUUAAAAUAGAAGUGAUAGUUUUUCCUUGUCUGUUUCUGACAGUGAUUGGAGAGAGGAGAAAACUUCAAACUGAGUGAAAGCAUUGUUUGGGAUGUUCAUAUCCUCUGCUACUUAUGUGUAUAAUAUUUAAGUAAUUUGCCUGUUGAGCAUCAAAUUGGAGCAGCCUCUUCCUGUUGAUGUGUUUCUUCAAGGUUCUCAAAGAUAAAGCAGUGUAAGGGAAAUUGGCAUGUGUUCAAAUACUAUUAGAGGUGUAAUUUAAUUUGCCUAAGGCUAUUGCAUCUCCCCUUUUCCUGUAAAGAUAGAUGAGGAGCUCGACCCCAAAGUAUCAAAAUGAAAGAUCACAGUUAGGAAAAAAGCACAUGAUUAAGAUUGGAUAUUGUUAUCACUGUACCAUGACACUUUAUUAUUAUAAGAGUAUUUAAGACAAGCUUAACACUCCUCAUAUGUGUACAUAAUAGUCCUGAUAUAAUUUCUGUUAAAAUAGGAGGUAUUAGUUAAUAUUACAGUAGCCUUUCUACUUUGUUAACUGUGUACCUGUACAUUAGACUCUGUUUUCCAUUUUUCAUGGUGAACUAUCUGGAAAUGUAGGAAUUAGCAAGACAUUUUUAAGGCUUUUAAGCCUUUUAGCAUUGAUUAUUGUGACAGUUGGAGAGAGGGAAAUUUUACUAAAGUUUUUCUCCUGAAAGGUCAUCCCUUUUCCACGUAAUUUGAGCUGUAAUUAAUAGGAAGAGUUGUUUAAAAUGGAUACUAUACUUGUUUGAAAGGGCAAAUCUGCUCUGAGUAAAAAUUCUGCUUCCCAAAUACUUGAGUUUCUUUCUCAGGAGGUGUUUCUUCACUUUUUCUCCUUGUAGGCGCCUUUUAAAACUAUACCUAAAUUUCUUUCUCCCUCCAUCCAAAUCCCUAAGAAUACAGUCCAGGCAGGAGUAAAUUGCCAGCAUUAUCAUCAGAGGAAUGAAAAGACUUAAAGCUCUAGAUGAUGAUGUUAUUUUUGCUGACUGGCCAUUACCAUCUCCACCUUAAAUCAGAUCAUGUGAUGUGUGCAAGGUCUGUGCUCUGUUCCUGUACAUCUCUAACCCCAGUAUCUUGGUCUGAAAGUGUGCACGUAAGUACAGCUGCAAAUAGUAAAUACUUGACUUACUUUUGCUAUACCAAGAUAUGACUAUUUGAAUAAUAUUUCUGUCUUUCCUGCUCUUGAAUUUCUUUCCUGUUUGCUUCUCCAUUUCUUUCAUGCUGAUUUUUUUUUUGUCAUUUACACGAUCACACGUGGCAAUGAUCAGUUGGCAGAUAAUUGUUGUGUCAAAUUUUCCAGUGCUGAAUAAUUCUUGGUAGGAUUGCUCUAUAUAAUUUCCACUGUAGAUAACUAUUACUCUAUUACUCUACAAUAAUUUCUUGUCUUCAUAGCUAUGAAUUUGGUCUUCACGGAGGAAUUUUGCUUUAAUCUGAAGUCAAUUACCUGAAAGCUUCAUGCAUUUCUUUGUGCUAGGGUGAAAGAAAGAGUCCUGUGAUAAGGCAGGAGAAGAUUUUAAUUUUUCUUUCAGAAAAGUUAUGGUAGAAGAAAUAGAAGUGAAGGAAAAAAGCUAUCCUUUUCUAUAGCCCAUCAUGACUUCUAUCAUUAUUUGUAUCCUUGCCAUUGGGAUACAAAUCCUUAAAAGCUGAGAAAAAGGAAAGAACCAGUUAAAGAGAAGUUUUGAUAACAAGAAUGCUGCUUUUCAAGGAUAUCAGGAUAUUGUGCAGUUCCUCAUGGAUUGAUACAUAUAUCACCCUAAUAGUGGAAAAAUUUUGAGAAAUCUUCUUUGUAUAAUUUACAUAUCUUUAUGUGUUAAUUUUUCCAUUAAAAUUAUUACUGGGCAAGAAAUAAAAUUAGGAAAAAAUUAGAAAUAAAAUUAUGGCUUUUGUUGACCUAAGAAGACUAUUCAGUGCUGGGACACUUACCUUGGUUCCUUAAGCAAACAGGAAUUUUUUUCCUCUUAUUUUCGUUACCUGAUUUCUAUCUUUACAUUUCAGCUAUUUCUGUUUUUCAAGUCUUGUAAAUUAUGAAUAUUAUUUUCCCCAGCACCUGAGGCUAGACAUUAAUUUUUGUUUCCUUAGGAAUAGAAUGUAAAUUAGAUAUUACUAUGUUACAAGUGGAGAUAAUGAAUUGUUUUGCCUAGAAAAAUACCAACAUUGAAGAUUUUUCAACAUUUUUUUCAGAGAAAAAACCCCAGAUGUAAAGGAACUAUUUUUGCUAGCUUGCAGAAAGCCAGUUCUGAUGGAGGUUGAAUCAACUGUGAUAGUAAUUUAUUGUUUCUUUUUGUGUGGAGUUGCUUAAUAUUCCAGCCUAAAACUGCUACCUUGAGUUAAAAUACCACAGCACUGCAACUGGAAGGGAAAAAAAGGUGCCAAUAAAAAGCAUUUUCCCUCUCCCAUUCCUUCGUAAAUAGCCAUGUUUGGAAAAGUAGUGUUGUAUUUUUGGGUAAAUUUUGCAAAACAAGGAAAACUUGUACAUUGUGCAGGUAAAGCACUGCUGGUUUGUGUGUUGGAUGAUAAUCAGGGUUUCCCUGCUUGGCCAAAGAACUACUGAGUAGUGAAAUGGUUAUUAAGAAGGUGAAGCUGGGACUCAGCUUGCCUAACUGCAGUAAUGUAGAAGCUUAGCAUAAGCAUGUGCUCUGCAGACUUACUUUAUAUGGUAAGUGGAGACAGAUGUCUGCCUUAAACAGUUUUUUUAUUGUGAUUUUCUAUGUGACAUAUCAUCCUUUCAAAGGGUCACCUUUUUCUGUCAGGAAGGCUGGUUGUCCUAGAUGCUUUGUACAGAUGGAACAGCUGAUUUUGAAACCAUAAAAUUAGGUACAAAUAGUCUCCAAUUUCCAUUGUUUUGUACAAGUUGAUGGAAAGACAGUUCUUUGUUAUUCUGUAAAUUCAUCAUGUGAAGAAUAAAGUAUUGUACCUGCAUAUGUGUUCAUUAUUUUAUUUUUACAGUGCAGCAUUAUACUGCUAAAAGAAGCUGGAAACUUUUAACCCUGACAUAUACAGCUAUUAUGUAGUUACUAAAAAUUAAAUAAUUUUGUUUCAACAUUCUUCUACUUCCAGUCAUGUUUGAGGUUAUUUCUAAAGAAUAAAAUAGAGUUAUCACCUACAGGAACUUUCCUGGAUUUUUAUUUUUCUAUCUUCUGGUGUUCGUUGGUGAAUUGAUAUACUUUAUAAACAGUAUCUUUUAAUGACUACAGCUAUGUUAGAGAAGAUAGAUUAUAUUCUUUUAAUCAACUGUUUCUCAUUUCUUUUCAUAAAAGUGUCCGAUCUUCAGAAUAGCUUGUUUAAACGUGAAAUACUGCAGUGUGUUUAUAUGUGGUGGAGCACUGAUAAAGGGCAUGACCUGAAAUUCUUGGCAAUAUUUGGAGUACUUAAGUGUGCUGUGGGUUGCUCCUUGAAGACCAUGCUGAUUAAUGCACUCUGGAUGUGGAUGUCUCAGAGCACUCUUUCCCUUGCCCCAUGUGCACUGGUACAGUGCUUUUUCUGAAGGAGGCAUAGGCGUGUAUAUUGUCAUAAAAUCAGUUUUUGCAGUAGUGCUGCAGUCUGCAGAGUGGGUGUUGGUUUCUCCAGGGAGCUACAGCAAGAACAUACUUAGGUGUGCUGUAGUUUGUUAAGGAAGUGUAGCUUUGUAUCUGAAUUGCUCUUCUGUCACUCAACUAACCACAUCCAUUUAUAUUCCGUAGUUUCAGGGAGAACCUUCAAAAGCUGCUGAUCAGAGUAUUGAAUUGAAGGAUAGGUAGUAAAAUCCUCAAGAGGAAAUGAAAACAGAUAAGGCCAGAGUUUAAAAAAACCCUUUACUUCAUAAGUUUAUGUGAAAAGAAGACAAAUACGAGGUGAAAAUAUACAGAUACAUCCAUGCAUAGGAAAGCCAGAAAGGAGAAAAAUCUGAAAACAAGAAAUAAGCAAAACACUUUCUGUGUAUUAGCUGCCAUAUCCAGUAAUCUAGGGAUGCAUUAUAUAGUAUUUAUGAAGUAAGUACUGUAUAUACAAAAAAAAUAUUGUAAACCUGUAGGCUUUGCACUAGAACUGUUUGUUUUUGAGUUAAAAAAAAGAGAAUUCCACAGUGUGUUAAGCUACCUAUGCAGAGAUAAAAGCUUGAGACUUUAGCCCAGAAUGCCCCAAACAUUGAAAAAAGUAGAUGUCGUGACUCUUUCACCAUGUUUUCUGAUAUGAAGCAGCUUUCACUGCAGAUAUUUUUUUCUUGUCCUACAUAGCCUUAGCCUGAGAGGCAGUGAGAGUUCAAAGUAUGAGUUUUCUGAAUGUAGAGUGUUAAAUAAGGGACUUUGUUUUUGAAAGGGGGAUGGGAGUGAAGGCAGAGGCAUCAGGCCAAGGGCAAGGGUGGUUUUUGGUGGCUUAUUUACACCUGAAACAUCCUAACUAAAAAACAUUCUUUCUCCUUUAGCCAUGGUAGAAGAGAGGUGUGUGAGUAGCUCUUCUAGCAAACAUUCAGUGAUUUGAAUUUAUUUUUCUAGCUAGUCAAAAAGUCUUUUAUUGUGGACUAUAAGAAUGCUUGUCUUUAGCUUAUAAAAUUAAAGUCAUUUUGGGCAACAGGAUAUACUCAGGAAGCUAUUCUGGAAAGAAGAAUCCUAAGUAGACUGCAUUAUAGUAAAAUGUAAAAUAAUUUUAAAAAGUAAUUUGAGUGCAUUAAAUGGAAGCUUUGCUUAAUGGAGUAAAGUGAGCAAAGAAAUUUGGAACAGCUGGGAGUAUGUGCUGUUUUAAAUACACAGCUUUUAUACAUGCAUGUGAAUUAAAAUUGAUGCUCUGUAUUGCUCAGAGAAAUUAAGAUGUUAGUAUGAUCAUCAGUGAUUUUGUGUUUAAAAGCAAAGGAUAAUUGGUACUAUACACUGCAGGAAAAUCUAAACGCUUGCUUUUUAUUUCUUUAGUUUUCUUUCAGAUGAAUGUAGGUAUGGAAAGGUAUGUUUGGUCAGAGGCUUGCUAAACUGACAAAGAGAGCUUUUGAACUAAAGUUGCUGGGAAGGGGGAACUGCAAUACAUCUUAACACUUCACUGCCAGAGCUAGAGGAGAAGCCAGAGGCUGGAGAGGGUGUGCAGAGCAACAGGAGAGGACCUCAAGGGUGGCAUAAAGGAAUUCCAAUAAGACUUCAACCAACCCAAUACCUGUUGGAGGGACAGCACAGCAGGGCAUAAGCAUUUCAAGAGGUUCCUGGAAUGUGUUGAUGACAACUUCUUUCUCCAAGUGAUAGAGGAGCCAGUGAAGAGAGGUGCUCUGCUGAACCUUGUUCUAAACUACAAGGAGGAUCUGAUGGGGAAUGUGAAUCUGAAGGGCAGUGUUGGCUGCAGUGACCAUAAAGUGGUGGAGUUCAAGAUCCUUAGGGCAACAGGGGAGAUGCACAGCAAGCUUGCUACUCUGAACUUCAGGAGAACAGAGCUGGCCCUCUUCAGGGAUGUGAUUGGAGGAGUACCUUGGGAUAAAGCUCUGGAGGGAAGAGGAGCCCAAGAAAGCUGGUUAAUAUUCAAGGAUCACAUCCCCAAGCUCAGGAUGCAUCCCAACAAACAAAAAUUUGGGCAAAAUCACUGACAGACCUGCAUGGAUGAACAGUCUGUUCCUUGCUAAACUCAAACACAAAAAGAAGCCUGCAGAGUGUGGAUGCAGGGAUAGUUAGUCUUGGAAAUUGUCUGACGAAUCAGAUAUCAGGGGAGGAAAGCUGAAGUCCUGAUAAAUUUAAAUCUGGCUAGGGAGAUCAAGGCCAACAGGAAAAUCUUGUCACUGGUAAAAGAAAGGCUAGGGAAAGUGUAGGUUCUCUCAGGAAGGAAGCAGUGAACCAGGUCACACAAGAUGUGAAGAAGGCUGAUGUACUCCAUAACUUUCUUGCCGCAGACUGGCAAGUGUGGCAGCCACACUGGCCUGAGUUGCAGGAUGCAAAGACAGAGACUGGAAGAAUUAAGAACCACCCACUGUAGAAGAUCAGACAUGAGACCAUCUAAGGAAACUGAGGGUCCAUGGGACGUGAUGAGAUACAACUGUGGGUCCUGUGGGAACCGUCCAAAGAAGUGGCAAAGCCUCCACCCAUCGUAUUUGGAGAAACUGUGGCAGUCUGGUGAGGUUCCUUCUGGAAAAGGGGAAACAUAACCCUCACUUUUAAAAAGGGAGAUUGGGAAGACCUUGGAAACUACAGGUCAGUCAGUCUUACCUAAGUGUCUAGGAGAAGUUCCUCCUGGAAACUCUGAGUAAUUGGUGACAGCCCAAAUGGCCUUUUGUGAUGGGAUUACAAUGUUGGUGGAUACAGUAAGAGCAACUGAUACCAUCUUCUGAGAACUGUGAAAAGCAUAUGACACUGUCCAACAUGGUAAUCUCUAAACUGGAAAGACGUGCGCGUGGUGGUUGGAUCACUAAGGGGAUCAGGAGUUAGCUGGAUGGCUGCUCUGGAAGGAUUGUGGUCAGCAUCUUGAUGUCCAAAUGGAGAAGACAGGCAUUCCUCAGGGGCUGGUGUUGGCACUGGUGCCGUUCAGCAUUGUUGUUAUUGACACGGACAGUGGAUCAAGGGCGCCAUCAGUAAGUUUGCCAACCACACCAAGCUGUGUGGUGUGAUCAUAAGAAGCUGGAGGGAGGGGAUGGCAUCCAGAGGGAUCUGGAUAGGCUUGAGAGAUAGGCUUGUGUGAACCUCAUGAAUGAAGUUCAGCAAGGCCGAGGGCAAGGUCCUGCACCUGGGUUGGGGCAGCCCCAAGCACAAAUAGAGGCUGGGUGGAGAAUGGACUGAGAGCACCCUGGGGAGGACUCGGUGUGCUGGUGGAUGAGAAGCUCAACAUGACCCAUCAAUGUGUGCUUUCUGUCUGGAAAGCCAAACACAUCCUGGGCUGCAUCACAAGAAGCAUGGCCAGCAGGUUGAGGAAGGUGAUUCUCCUUCUCUGUUCUAUUCUCUGUAUACUCCACCUGGCCCCCCAGCAUAUGGACAUGGAUGAGAGGGAACAAGUCCAGAGAAAGGUUGUGGAAAUGGUCAAGAGCCUGAAGUGCCUCUCCUGUGAAGACAGGCUGAGGUAGUUGGGGUUGUUUAGUUUGGAGAACAGAGGGCUCUGGAGGCCUUCCAGUAUAUAAGGAAGCUCCAAAAGAGCUGGAGGGGGAGUUAUUACAAGGGCUGUGUAGAGAUAGGAGAAGGGGGUAUGGCUUCAAAGGGAAAAGGAGGAGGUUUAGAUGAGAUGUUAAGAAUAAAUCCUUUAUUUAUUUAUAAAUAAAGGUGGUGAGAUAUGAGGGUGGUGAGACACUGGAAAAUGCUGCCCUGAGCAGCUGUGCAUGCCUUAUGCCUGGAAGUGCUGUACUGGACAGGGCUUUGAGUAACCUGGUCUACAUAAAGGUUCCCAAUCUGUGACAGGAAAGUUAGACCCAGAUGAUCUUUAAGAUCUCUUGCAUCCCAAAACAUUCUAUGCUUCUAUGAUAUCUUCUACUUUUUUUUUUUUUUUUUUUUGAGUGUUUCAGCAACCUCUUCAAAAUUCUCACCGGGAUAGGAAGUGUUAACUAUAGAUCCUGAUGCCUCAAGUCUCUAUGAGGUUCAUUUAACUUUGACACUCUUGCCAAUUUGCUUUUUGAUAUUCUUGAAACUUCACUUCUUUUGAAUAAGUGUGAAGAAAGUUACAGGUUGGUUUAGUCCCAUCUCCCUAUUUUCUCCAGCGAAACUAGAAAAAAAUGUGGUAUUUGUAUGGAGUCAGAAAUUGUAUUUUGUUUAAAACUUCCAGUGCCAUUUCAUUGCAGUGAUCUAAAAUUAUUAGAUUAAGUUUUCCUUACAGAGAAUAGUUUAUCCACUAAUACCACAUGACAAAGGAGUUUUACAGCACAGUAGCUUUUAUUCUGAAGUCUUGACUCCUUUUUUAUUCAAAUUGAAUGUACCCUCAGGCUUUAGAUUUGUGACUUCUCCUAUAUUAGGGUAGCCUGAAGAUGAGCUCUCCAGUUCUUGGCAAGUCCUAAGCUCUUUUUUCAGUUUUUGUCACACAGAGCUGUGACCAUCUGGUGGUAGAUGUCUUAUUUUUUCCUUCUGGAAGUGUACUUUUCCUUAGUGAACCUAAAUAUUCUCUAAUCCCUUUGAGAGUAAAUAACUCUGUUCUGGAGAGCCCUGGCAGUACUUCUUAUCUGGAAAGAAUGCUCCUAUUUUCUAGCAGUGUCCUGCAAAGAAAGCUUACUUAAUCAGUAUUGUUAAGAUGAACUCCAGUUCUUCAGUUUUACUUUUGUAUAUUCUGUCAGUGGCCAGUUUCUUAUUCUAGGUUAUUAUAGAUCUAGAUUAAUCUGACAUCUAAACAAAAGAUUGCUUUUGACUGUGUGUGUGGCUGUUGUUUUUCUUGUAAAGUGUGUAUACAUUCAAAAAGAAAAUGGUAUUUUUUUCUACUUUAUAUUUUGAAAAACAACACCAAGUCCUGUAGAAUGGGUGGCAAACAAUGCCACAUUUCUCCUGAAAGGAAAGAAUUAGACGGUUUCAAAAAGUUAUUUACUAAAAAAAGAUAUUUUGAUGCUACAAUUAAUGUGACUGGUGAAGAAACCUUGGAUCAGGACUACUAUCCCCUGGAUACUGGUUGGAUUGUCAUAUUACAGAAUUGUGUGAGGAAAAGCCAGGCAGAUAUUCUGGGGCCUUCCCCACUCUUCCCUUCCCAUGAGUUUUUUACAGUAGCUUAUAUUGCUGGCAAGUGUCUAGCUUGUAAUCCUUUUUGCAUGUUUGAAAGAUACACCUGGAAAGGGAAGGCUUUGUGUAAUUUGUUAUUCCCAAAUCUGUUCUUUUGCAACAAAAAGACUGUCCCUUUACUCCACUGUGUGCUUAAGUAUCAAAACUACUUAAGAUAAAAAAAGCAAAAACCACAAAGGCAUAAUGCUGUAAUUUCAAAAUGAUACAAAGGCACUUCAGAGCAGGCAGUAGUAUUACAGGCUUUAUCAGUGUUGCAUCAGUUCUUUCCUUCAUAAAUCUUUCACUACACAAAUCAAAUAUUUGACAAAAGUGAUGUAAGGGAAAAGAUGUUACAAAUCUCCAGUACAGUUAAAAUGACUGCUCCUAAGGAAGGUAAUUAUUUCAUCAUUCCAUCCACAGUUCCCCAAUUCGUCUAGAAAGCCAGUUAUUGAGAAAGACUUAGUAAUUUUGAGGCCAUGCUCAUUGUAGGGUGUUUCAGACUAAGUAGUGGCUCAGGUGCAAGAAUACAUCUUACUACUCAAGUCACUGGAAUUUUUUUGGGGGUAGAUGAGGUUUUUUUUUCCCCCCACUGAACUGCACAUAGAAGUUCCCCCUUUACUUGGCUGCAUUACACAGAAUACACAAGCAGAUAUUUACAAAUCAUGCUUUAGCUGGUAGGCAGUCACUAGAGGGUAAUAUAUUCUCAUCUCACUUUUGGUCUUUCCAAAUCCUCAGGCAGCUACCUCUGUGCAGUUAUUUAGCAUGUGAGGCAGAAUUGGCAGCUUUUUGAAUGUUUGCAGUCAGAAUACUUUUGUUGGAUGUUGCAAUAAUGGGGCUACAGUAUUGCCUGAAAUCUUCAUUGGACUAAACUAAUGUCAGUGCUGUUGGCAAAUAAAGCCUGUAUUUUCAGCAAACUCUUGAAUUCUUGAGGUCUUUUAAAUUUUCAUAUACUUGAAACUCUUUGUGAAAAAGAAAGCCCCUUUGAGAAUCUACCAGGCUAAUUGCUUGCAAAGAAGCAAUGUCAUCACAUUUACCUUGGAUUUGAUAAGAAGUGUGUGGUUGAGGCAUGUGGUUGUUUCAGACCAUUGUAAUUUGGGGACAAGAAAAUGGAAAGGAAUUUUUUUUUAAGUGACUUGGUCUCCUGUUGCAUACUGGUCAACUUGAUGUGUUGCUGCUCAGAAUCACAGAGAAUUACAUAUUCUCCAAUAAUGCUUAUCAGAAUAAGUGUCUGUCUAGAACCAAAAACUGUGAAAUUUUUUAUGCAGUAUUUCUAUUCAGCAGUCAGACCUGAUCUUCUACAGAGUCUGAAAUGGCUUCUUAUCCCAUCUGACAACUUAGUAGCUACAGAUUAUUUCAGGUUUUUUCUGUUCUGCUGUGAGUUUUUUCAUCAAUCUCUUGCGAGAAAUGUUCUCAAAGAUUCUACUGAAUCAAAUUCUCUAUGCUUAGAAGUGUAUAGUGGUAACAAUUUGCUUUUGAGUGGUAGUUGUCACUUACCUAUACAGACAAAUUCACAAGUGCUUUUGAGAAACUCCAGUAAUUUUCUCUGGAGUUCUUUUUUAUCCUCCGAUUUGUGAAUUCUAGUGGCAUAAAUCAGUUUGUUAUUCUGUGCUUCAAAACUCUCUGCCCUCCAUUUGCACCUUCCUAUCUUUCCAGGUCUGCCCUCCAUUUGCACUUUCCUAUCUUUCCAAGAGAUUAAAAAGUUAUAUUCUGUAAGUUUUUAAAAUAUCUUAAACCUGGUCAAUGACUGGAUCUGUACAAGUGAUUUGGUAGACACUCAGAGGUAUGUAGCUGGAAACUGUAGAAGGAAUACCCAGUUAACAGUUGCAGUUGUGUGCUAAAAAUAUAUGCGGGCUUAGAUGAAGAACUGUAAAAGUAAUUGUAACAUACUUUCUGCCCUCCAAUGACUCUGAUCCCAAAGUGCAUCCUUGCCUAAACAUAGCCAGCCUUGGAAUUGGCCGCCAGAGGGCAAACUAAAUGUGCAUGCUCCCCACUCCCAUAUGUUCUUGAAAAUCAGCUGCAAUUCUUCAUGUCAAUGUUAUUAGAUUUUUUUUCCCCUCUACAUUAAUGGUAAAUACUUUUUAAAGAAAAUAUUAUUUUUUGCCGAAGAGGUCAUCUUGUCUUGGCUCAUUGUGUAGCAACAAUAACCUGAGGAACCAACUUUGAAAGAGCAUGUUUCAUAGGAAUGGUGUAAAACAUCACCAGGCUAGUUUUACAUCUUAACUGCUGGAUGACUUUUGAUGGCAUGUGCAAGCAGAAGAUCAUCUGUGAGUCUUUUGUUUCUUUUCAUGAUCAGAAAGAGCAUUAAUCAGUAUUAGGCUAUAAAGAGGCUCUUGUUUACAGUAGGAACUCUUUAGUCGUGAAGGUUUGGGAAUAGCUAUUCCAAAGUCCGUUUCCCUGAUGCUGCGGACACUGACAUUCUUACUGUAUGUUUGAAACAAGAUAAAAUUUUGUUCUGUAACUCAAAGUAGUUCCAGGAGUUCCAUUUUACACUUGCAUAGAACUUUGUUGUGUACUUUCCCUUUAAAGCAAACCACUUUACUAGACAAAAUUGCGCAAAAGUUUUGCUCAGGCAGGUACUGAAUUUGUUCUCAGUGUAGGUAUGAAAGAUGACACAUCUCAAUGUUCAUACAUUUUUUAGGUCAGUAGAAAUAGACAGGGUAGAUUUGUUUGGAGAAUUAUGUACAAAAUUUAAAUAUAGAAAGACUAAAUAAAACCAUCUACUCUGAACUUUUCAGCUGUUUAACGAGCAGGGAAUUGAUUAUAGUCACGAAAUUUAGAAGCUUAAAUUGAUAUUAUCUUCUGCAAUGGUGUACUGAUGGAUACAUCCUUAUUUUAAUUCGUCUUUCUCUGAAAAAAUAUCUUUCUUAUGUGACAUAAAAUUAUGGCUGUCAGAUAAAAUAGUAUAUGUAACGAAAUGCUAUGUCGUUGGAAGGGAAUGGUACCAUGAUUUAAUUUGCUGUUAGUUUUCAUACUGAUUUUAGAAUGUAGGUGAGUGCAUUUUUCUUCCUGGUAUUUUCUUCCUUGGUAUUUGUCAAUACCAAGCUAUGAUGUGGUGUGUUCCUGUUUAAAUUUGGACUUCUUGGCCAUGGUUAGUUUUAUUUUGUAAAAGUUUCAAUAUGGCCUGGGUCAAACCACUGUGAAGCUAGGUGAGAUUAUUACAGUACAGAGAGAAAUGCUUUGACCAUAUAGGUAUGGUGUUAAGUAAUCUUGAUUCAUAAAAAUUGUGGAUUUAUUAGCUCUCAUGUGCAAGACAAUAACUAAUGUGGACUGUAUGUUUAUAAUAACAUUUUUCUGUUAUUCUUUGUAAACAUUUAUAAAUAUAUUUGUUGAGCUUUCUCUUCGGGAUUCAUGUGACUUUGUAGGAAUUUUAGAUUUGAUUCAUACAGAAUUGGUCAUUUUAUAAUUAGAGAAAGUAGAAGGUGGAAAAUUAUCCUGACAGAGUAAGUUAAGUAUUUGACAAGUUUUCAGUGGAUCUGCUUUGUAGAUGAUAUGUUGUAAUAUAAUAUAAAAUAUAUUAUAUUUACAAUAUGAUAUUUCUGUAAUGUCUGGCAGAGGAAGAUUUUGAACCUCUACAUGUGUAUACAGCUUCCUACUAACAUGAGUUGUAGUAAAGGACCAUUUUCAUUAGUGGCAGUUUGAUAUAUUUUCCACAACAUCUUGGCCAUAUUAAUUGUAUUUCACAAAGGUUUUCUCUUGAAAGAUUGAGUGGGUAAGAUGAACAUGUCAUUGUGUGGAGAGAUGUCCCUGAGCCAUCAAAAUUGCAAAAAAGCACAAAAAAGACUAGAAAGUCUCUUAAAGCAGGAAAGUGGCAAACUUCAGAUACUUGCUUGUGCUUAUCUCUAUGGUGGAUGAAACAGCUUUAAGACUCAUUUGAUACAUUUAAUGCUUGUCUUUUCAAUUAAAACACAGCAUGUAAAGAGUCAAAAAUCCUCUCUGUUAUUUUGGUAAAUCUGUAUGUGUAAUGAAGUGUAUUUUGUUCCUUUUUUUUUUUUUUUUCAAAAUACUCCAUAUUCAAUAUAUACUUUUUAUUAAAAUAAGAUGUUUGAAGUUUAAAAAAAUAGUUUUUGGGAGUGUUCUUUCAGAAUAUCUAGGAAAGAGCUUUGAAGUUCCCAUGUAGCAGGCAGCCUUUCAUUAUAGAUAUUGAUGACAUUACAAUUGGAACAAUAGUCUGCAUUGAUUUUCAUAACAUCCUAACAAUAAUGUGGGGGAUAAUUUUAUAAUGCCUUAAUAUAAAUCUGUCUUUUUCAAGAAAAAAAAUCAAGUCCUAUUGUAGUACAAUUUCUUAUUUAAAACUCAAACGGUGUUUCUGGCAUGUGCAACUGAAGGAGGCAUACCUGUCGUCUUACACAAGACUCUUUCCUGACUGAAUGUUAAAAUAUUUUCAUAUUAAUUUAGAAACUGUUUUUAUGGCAUUUCUACAAACUCCUGUCCAGUUUGAACUCUUACCUGUACUAUUAAUGAAAAUUUCUUUUCCCUCUCUUCUCCCUCAGACUUGACCUACCUGCUCAUGCUCUUGAAUAAAUGUAGGGAUAUCUACUCUAAAUGACUCCUGGAGAGGAAAAGUUUUUUAAUAAGUGACUGUGAAAAUAGGAACUUGAUGUAUUUAUUAGUGUAUUACAUUUCUCAAACAGGGUGUAGUGAAGUAGCUCUAAAGGAGGUGAUUCAUGACCCAUCAAAUGAAUUAUUGGAACAAAUGAAUUUCCCAGAAAUGUUGUGUUCAAACAGUAACAGAGGGUUUUCUAGAUACAUCAGAAAAACUGACACUGAUGGCUUUCCUUUCUCUGCCUUUUCUGUUCCAAAUAAAAGUUCUUGCUGGCUGUGCAUGAGAUAGGUGACAAUUGAAGAAUGGAACAUAGGAAAGAAGUGUCUUUUCAAUAAUUGUGUUCCUUAUGACUGCUUCAAAACUGGCUCAGAUAAAUUGUUGACAAUUUGAACCUUAAUGAUGUAGGAUGCAUGGUUGCUUUGUUUUCUUUUACAGCUUAUCUUGUUCUUCUUUCAUGAACAUGUGUUGUACAUUUAAUUGUGUGAUCCUGCAUUUUUGAAGGCAGUUUUGCUUGUUUAUUUAACAAACUGUCUUACUUUCAAUGUUCUUUUUAUUAUUAUUGUUUUAGAAAUGUGCACUUAGUGAAUUAUAGACUGCACCUUAAUGAAGUAAUUAUUGAGGGAAGAACAGUCUGCAGCCACUGUAUAAUUGUCUUUUGCUGGGUAAUGCAAUCAAAUUUGUAGUUACACUCAUUCAGCUUUUUGUGUCUCUUCUCUAGGGUCUUUUAAGUGGAUUGUUCUAAAAAUAUAGCAGUUGUUAUCUUUGAUAGUGUAAAUACUGUGGGAAUUUAAAGCUUAAGAUCUUUUAGAGGAAAAAAACCCCAAUGCCUUCAUUGAUAGACAGAUCCACAGAUGCCUGUUGCUUCUUGUGGUGCUGGCUAUUAGCAGUCUGCUUUGUAGUUCUUCCAUGGUUGAAUUAAAUCUGGAGUUUUUUAGGAGUUGAUCUGGUCUUCUAAUAAAACUUACUUGAACUUUGUCUUCCUGAAAAAACAGUGUCUGAAGUAACUGUAUUAAUGUCUCUGGGGUGUUUUAUACAGAGAUACCAGAGUUGACAGAAGAAGUAAGAUCAAUUUUUCUUUAAGAUGUACAAGAAUAAGGCUGUUUGGAACCAAUCUGUUCAGUCCAUAUAUCAAACAUUAGAUAUAUCUGUAACAUUUAGAUUGUGGUAAGAUUGCAUGCAAAUUUUUAUAUUUUAGUUCUCUCCUUUAGUAUUUCUCUCAUAAUCAAAUGAGCUUUAAGGAAUAGGUCAAGUGUAUGGCAAAAAUGACACUGAUUUGAACGUAGCUAUCCUGUUGGGCUUGAGCUGUAUGUCCUGCUUAGAUAUUUAUAGUUUUGUAUGAAAUGUGUUUGAAACAUACUGUGUUUGCUUGCAGAAGGGAAGCCAGUGUUGCGCAGCUGUAGAGAUGUUAAGCUAGCCAUUUGCUUGCCCUUUGUGUUCUUUCUUACUCUUGUUUUGUCUGGUCGUCUUCUCUACAUUUUUAUGCUAAAAAAAGGAAAAAUUGUACAUUGUCAGCAAUGCAACAAUCCUACAAAGAAAGUCUCAUACAUCUGUAGUAAUGACUUCUUUAUAGGAAAUAUGUGAGGGAAAAUAAAACAAGUCAAACUCAAUGUCUGUAGUUCAGCAGCUUAUGUCUGACAGUUUGCAAUAGCAAGUAACCAAAGUAGGAGAUAAAAGCAUCAACGUAGUUAUAGAGCCUUCUUCUUAAAAAAAAAAAUCUCUGAAGGGCUGCAGUGUCUUAAUGUAUUUCUGUAGUAUGCUAUGGCUGCUCCCCUUUUUUGUGUUCUGUUUUGCCAUUUAUGGCUGUAGUUGCAGCUUUGAAUGCAAAUUGCUGUCCUUCUGGUGGGAUAAUGGUUUUAUUUUGUACUCCAGACCUUGUCCUAUAUGGAUAUUAGAAAUUAAGAACAACAUUCUGUUUAACUGAGUUAUAUGAACCAUAUAUAAUCUGUGUUUCCAUAGAAUUUAACUAGAAGCUGACUUGGCCUUCUGGUUAAAAUAGAGCUUAAGAUACUUCUGAGUUGAAAGGAUUUCACCACCUAUUACUACAUCCUGUGGCUUCUACUUUAAUGAGGAACAAAGAAUAUAUUGGAUAUUUUUGACUUUGAUUUUCAGUAGUUAACCAACACACAUUUGCAUCCAAUAAUGAAGAAAAAACAUAUUUAGGUUUGUACUGUGGUCUUAAUAUAAAGUUAUUCCUGCUAUCUUUAAGCUUGACCAUAUAUUUUUUUUCUUAAUCAGUUAUUUUGAAUUCCCUAGGACUGGAUUUAUACCUGUGUCUGUCAGUGAUCCCUUUUCUUACUUCUGAAAACUUAAGAAAAGAUUAGUCUUCUUCUCCUCUGACACGAAAGGAUUUUUAACUAUUAUGAGUGGCUGUGGGAUUGUUGCUAUUUGGAAAACGAUAUUUUUAAGAAAUCUCGGUUGUCACAUAUUGCUUGUUUGGUUUUUGCUGUGUACCAGUAAAAUAAUUCUAGCAUUUCUUAUCAAGCUACAAUCAAUUCUGCAGUUCUUUUUUUUUUCUUUCCCUCAGGUUAACAGCUGCUUUAGUUUGUUAGAUGCAGUGCUUACAAAUUCGGAGGUACUGCAGUACUUGCAAACAGUGAAGGUGAUUUAAUGCUGUUACCUCAUCAGAUUAUCAGAUUAAAAAAGGAUAAAACAACAAUUUACCAGAGAAUUUUUUAACUGAAUACUUAGCUUUUCAUAUCGUACCUUCAUAUAAUUCUUGUGUAGUCUGUCCUCUAAUCUUUGACCUUCCCUAAAGAUGUAUAUUUCAGAGUGAACCUGAUAGUCACAUUGAACAAAGCUCUCAUUAGGCACUAUCAUGGUACUUUACUUGCCACCUUGUUUUGUGUGGAAAUUUAUCUUAAGCAAAAAACUGAAUUGUGAUAGUCAUGAUUGAAUUUAGAGCUUGUGGGCUAUAUUUAGGCAUUUUUUUAUAAGGUAGGCUCUUCUGUACUUUCUCUUGCAUCAGAUUUAACUGGAAUUAACUGAUUAUUGCUGCUACAAAAAACAGGAGAGGCAUAGAGCAAUUCAGAUUAGAAAGACAAAUUACUAUCUUCAGAAACACGUUCUGACAUGGGUUGGUCCAUUUUAUUCAAAGGCAAAUUGUACACUUUCAUUACAAGUAUUUGAGAUAGAACCAUUUUAUACAGUGAUCUACAUUUCUAAGCAGCUAAGUAUUACUUGUUUAUUCACAAAUCACUGAUCUUCAAAAAAUUACCAUCAAUGAAGGUGCAAUUUUCUGAAAAUUUAGACAUCAGUCAGUACAGAGGGGAAGGAGAAAUAAUAAGCUAGAAAAGUGAUUGCUAAUGGACUUACUGAAUUCAUUUUAGAGGAAUCUACAAUACUGAGACCAUUGAAAAAACCUUAGUAGAUAUUAUGGGCCCCCAGUACAAUUGUAAGUUGGUGAAAUGUGGAAAAAUUGUGGAUAGAAAUCUUAAUGGUGCCUUGUGUUUCAGAAUGCACAGGCUUCAACUAGAUGACAAGAAAAUUUUAAGAUUGUGCAGAUCACCUACAGAGUUGCAAAAUUAAUGUUCUACACUUUUACUCUUUAGUUUUUCUAUCUCUUUGAAGAGAAUUUAUAUAAAUGAAACAAAACUAUGACACACAGUUUUCAGUAACUCCCGUGUAAUUAACAGGAUGACCAUGUGAAGUAUAUUUGUGGAAUGUGAUCAAUAAUUCUGGAUUUGUAUCAUGUUUAGGUUUAAUGUGAACGUAACUGAAGCUGAUGUUAUGGUACUGUCUUAUAGAUAAUGAUCUAAAAUAUAGAUAUAAUAUUGCCAUCACCAUCAUCAAAGAUGGUGAUGGUAAAAUGAAAUGUGUAGGCACGUGCCAGAGCUUCAGUACUCUUCAGUGAGCAUAUGGAUUUUUUACAUUAAUCAUAUUCUGAUACACUUUUAUCAUCUAGUGAAAACUGUUUGCGUUAUGGGUAUAUAUUUCAAUCCAGAAUGCUACAUUUAUAGAAAAGAGUGAGGUAAUCUGAAAGUUUAGUCAUUGAACUAAACUGCUGUUUGUUUACUUUGAUAGCAGAGUGGGUCAAGUGUGUCACCUUUAACAUGAAGUUUCUUUGAGCUUAUGUGUGUCUCUUGCCAGUUUGUAAUCUUUAAAGGAAGCAUCAAGUAUUCUGUACUUGAAUGUUACACUGCUAAAAGUUCAGGAAGAGCCAAUUUCUCUCUGACUGUUUGAAUGUUGUAAAGAGCUACUUGCAAUUUCAGCCUUUCAAUUUCAAAGUUAUCAUGUUGUUGUAGACUGGAGAUCAUUGGGUUUUCUCUCCAUUCUAAAUGUCGUUAUUCUUUACCUUCAAAAAACCUAUUUGAUUGUGGUGUCUUUUUAAAUAAAUUUUCCCCUCCCUACUUUUAUCCAUCUUUAUACAGGAGACAAAUGAUUGCAGGAAAAAGGCUUUUUCAUACAUGAAUCACCUUUUUCUUCAUCCCAGCUGACUGAUCUUGUGUACCAUACAGACUAUGCUGGUAGUAACCUAUGUAUGAUAUCACUGUAACAUCAAAAGAGAAAAUAGGAAGUAGUUAGUUUGUGACCUGAUCCAUUUUUUAUUUAAGAUGCGUGCUAGAUUUGGUAUUGCAGAUAUUUUAAUUUAGAUGCAGUCCAGAUUUUGUUGUUUAGGUUUGAACUAAAUAAAUCAUCUUCAUAAGUAUUGUUUGGAAGAAAAUGCAUAUUGUGCUUACCCAUGCAGUAAUUACCUGUGUUUUAAAUGGGCAGGCUGAUGAUGUGCACUGGUAGCAGUACAUGGAUACUUUGGACUUGCAGCUUCCAAACACGGACUUGGAGAAUGGAGCAGUAUGUGCUGCUGUAUGAGAAUGAACUCCAUUCCAGCCAGACUCAGCCUGCUGCCAGUUCCUAUUUGCAUGGCUUCUAUCUAUGAGUUCUUUUAUUCUGUCUUGCUGGAGUUCUGCCCCCUCCUUGCUUCUCCCAUAUUUGCUUUCACUGCUAUCCUGCUAUGAAGCCUGUCUCUUGUGAGAGACAAGACACUCACAAAAUUUGUCUUUUUCUGUCUAUAAGAACACUUUUCAAACUUUGAUUUGCUGCUGUAAUCAUACAUUGUUCCUAAAUUGUGGACGUCAGGGGUAGCUGCGUCUCCCAGACUCUCAUUUUGUUUCUAAUCUAGAAGCAUUACAUGAUGAAUUAGUGCUGAAGUACUCCCCCACGUGUGUGCCUCUCUUCAGGACAAUUACACACUUCAUCAGUGUAGACUGAGUUGAGUACUUAGUCUUCUGUCCCACUCAGUUUGCAUUACUUGUUUUUUUCUUUUUUCUUCUUUUAGUCUCUUUUCUGUCUUUUUAACCACAACAGCUGCAGUCAAGGCAGAUAACCUACUAAUUCUGUAUGUAUUUAAACAGAUGUGUAAAACUUGUUUUUUGAUGAACUUAAUUAUAGUUUAAUCUUUUAAAAUUAUUAUUGUCCUUGCCCUGAUUCAAAAUCAGUACUUGAUUUGGCAAACAGACAAAACAAAGGAUGAGUCAGACAUUUUAGAAUCCUAAUGAGACCGGCUAUCAAAGAAACACUAAGCAAUACGGUAUUUCUUAAUGGAAACGUGCUGAAUACUUGAAAUUGUUGACAUAAGAAUGGUUGGCUUAACUCUUCAUGGGGUUUUAAAAUUAUGGUGUUGGGUAAGUUAUGCAUGAAGACUUUCAGUUGUAAUGAGUUUGUUUUUUUUUUUAAAGAUAUAUAUCAGCGUGCUGCAUGGGGACUAUCAGGUGUUCACACUCAUUAUUGCACAAAGGAGUAUUGGAGGGGACUUUUGUUUUUUGGUGCACUUGGCAGAUUCUUGCUUUACAUAAACUUUGAUGUUACAGAAAUCGUACUGUAAAACUUUUGCUGUGAUUAAUAACAGGUUGCAGAGUUGUGUGCCUGAACAGCUUUGAGAAUUGAUACUUUCCAAGUAUUUAUGUAUUAGAGGUGCUAUGUGCCCUGGUUCUUUGCCAGGGAUCCUGUUAAAAUCGCAAUAUUGAAGGCUUUAUUAUUUUUCAUUGUUAGCUCUGUUUCUUGUGUCACUAUUGAUUGAUUUGGUUUUUAGUUGCUGUUUCUCAGUGAACUGAAAACAUUGGAGACCUAAGACUUUUGUUUAUAACAUUCGUUAUCAUACAACACUGUUUAAAUGAUGUUCAAGCGUUCUUUUGCUUUUUCUCUCUCUUUUCACUUGGUUGUAACCUUGUGGGAUAAUUCCAUGGAAUAAAGGAGAGAGCACAAAACAGUGGAAACUUCUAACUCCGGUUAGUAUACAUUCAGAAUUCCGGUAAUGAGUUACAGGAGAUUACCAUUACUAAUAGGAACCAGCUGACCAAAAAGAAAGUCAACUCAUAUGCAACUAUUAGAAAGUAACAGAAAACAAAUUAGAAGAUGUGGUUAAGUUCCUGUAUAAUUCUGUGGGGCAUAUUGUCAUUCCCCCUCUUCUUACUCCUCAAGAUAUAGUAUAGAAUUACCGUAAAUAUUAAAAAGAGGAAAACAAGUGAUAAAGGGUAUCAAAAAGUAGAUUUUCAUUUAAAAAAAACCUUCAUAUUUGAGGACUCUGAUAGGGAGAAGGAAUGGUAAUGAGAGGAUGUUGCUUUGCUUUUUUUCUCCAAAGACCUCUAUCUUUGGUUAUUGAUCAUUCUGUAUCUCUUCAAUAAGACAGCAGCUGUCUGUUCUUGGCUCCAGCUGGAGAUGGAAAUUGGAGUAGAUGGUUCCAUGUGGCAGGGUCAGUUGCCUACGUACAGUGGCAUACACUCUAAAACCAGGAACAUUUAUGUCAAUGGAAGUAUUUAAAAGCACAGGAAUUCUAGUGGAAUGAAUACAAGAUGGAUUAACUUGAAAUUUAAAGCCAAAGACAGUAGAAUGCUUUUAACAAAGAAAAUGAAAAAGUCUGUGUACCCGAAGUAAUUGAAACAUUGGUGGGUUCUCAUGUGGGUGACCAUGACUUUGGAGAGCAGAAAAGAGGUACUUCUCGUUGAAUUUUGCUCAAUGUCAUUGAAUUUCACUUUCACGGGAGGAACAGUUAGGGUCACAAGGAAACUGAAAAAAUUAUUUUCCGCAGCUUAUGCCAGUCCUAGCAAAAAUACAAGCUGGGCGAAUCUUUUAUUUAAUCUACCUCCAAAACCAAUACUAGUGACCAAAAAGAGCUCUGCAAAACAGGUGGGGAUUUCAUAUUUUUGAAAUAUAUUGCUAAAAUGAUUAUUUUAUAAUAACAGUAAUGGUCUGUGGACACAUGAUUUGCUUCCAAUGCAUUAAAGACAAAAAUCCUGUAUAGUUCAUUACGUAAUUGUCCUUGGUACUGGAUGAAAAUCAAGAUGGCAAUUAAAAACCAAAAUUCACCUCAGCAAAAAAAAAUAGAAACAAAAAUAAGGAAAAAACCAAAACCUGUCAUGAUUUUUUUACCUUUUGUUGUCUUUAAUUCCAGUCAUUCUGGUUUUCUUACUUUUGUCUGAGUUAAAAAAAAGAUCUGGAGAUUAGUAAGCACAACCAGCACCUGUGUUAAUGAACUGGAAUUUAUCAGCCCUAUUCUGACUGGUUCCAGUCUCCCAUAUUUAUCACUGUACACAUUAAUCACUAUUCUAUGAAUAGUACUAUUGUGGUAGGUUUUAUUAAUUGAGAUAGGCUGGAGCCAUAAGUAUGGAAUAUCACUACUGCAGCACUUUUCUUUGAGGAGCUGCUGACAAAACCGCCAGCUGGUGACUGGUAUAGAUAAGGAGGGCUUGUUCUGUGACUGUAGAAUGCUUUGUCCUUAUCAUUGAGAUCUCAGUAUCUUUCAGGAAUUUCAUAAUGUGGCACAAGUAGAGCUUGAGAUGUGAUUAUUUUUUUUAUUUCACUAAGUGAGGUUUUACACUUUGUUUUUGCAGUACUUAAUUUUUUUUAGUUGCUGAUGAUGAUUAUAAUUUUCUUUUCUAUCAAGGUAUGUCCAGACAGUGGAUAUUUCAUUUCAGAAGGGCAACCAGCAGUGCCUUUAAAAUUCUGUUGCUCUUACUUAUUUUACAAGAUAUUAAAGAGAAAUAAUCUGGAGGAACAGUCUUCUAGGAUACAUUCUGCACCACAAAAAAAGCCUGAGCAAUGGGCAUUGAAGCUCAUUGCAUGGAAGGCCUGGUAGUUGGCAUAAAUUAUAUAAGUUGCCUAAAGAAUUAAUUUCUUCCUGGUAUACUUGCUGGAAAUAGAUGCAGUAACAGUAUGAUUAAUUGGCUUUGUCAGUCAAAACAUGCACAUUUUGUACAAAAUAUUCAAAGGAAAUUUCACCCAAGCCCUAAGGUGCUUGAAACUUUCAGAUUUACAGUAUAUUUUCAGAUUUACAAGCUGAAUUGACAGAAGAGAAAUCAGCUGGCAAAAAGGAGUUAAGCACAUGAAGUGCCAAAUUGCUGUGUUUUGGAGUAAUUUCAGUGACACCAUUAUUUGAAGUAAUAUUUUUUCCCCUUUUGAUUUGCUUUCUUCCUUUUGGUUUGAAUCAGCUUGGGCCACGUGUGGCCAUAAUUUCUCCUUUAUUCCUCGAAUGCUCUUGGAGGAUUUUGUGGAAAUAAUAGGCUGCGAAUCUUGUAUUAUUUUGUUCAUAUCUGCAUGGUGGUGUAUGUAAGAGAGCUGAUGCCUAAAGUUGUCUCCUUAAAAUGGAGAUGAUGUGUGUGUGAAGUAUUUAAGACUGGUCAAUGACUUAUUUAGAAUCAGGGAUAGGAAAGUUUUGGAAAAGAUCCUUAAGAUCAUCAAGUCUAGCUGUAAAAGUAUUACUAGUGAAUUAUUCUGGUACUUCUCUAGCAAAGCAGGAAGGAAGCUGGUCUAAGUCAGAUCAGUGGAGUUUCCAAUAUGCAUUUUUAUGGUAUGAGCAAAGAUAAUGCCCCAACAACACAAUGUAAAUAAGUAGCAUCAUUUUUAUAAAGACAUAUUUUCUUCUAAAAUUGCAUAGUGCCAUCUGUGUUGUUUAUAAAGUGCCCUAAGUUAGGGAAAAGAAUAAACAAACCCCAAAAUGAGUACUGAAAAUUAUGAAGAUGUGAGUAGCAGUAACAUAUUGAAGAUAAUACCAUUGAAGUGCCUAGGGUUAGAAAAAAGCUGAUGAAUAAAAAAAACUACCAAAAGUAAGGAGAUUUUAGGUGGUAAAACAGGAUACCUUCUUCCAUGUAGUGAAUGAUAUAUUGACAUAAAAGAAAUAUGGCAAAUCAGCCUUUCCUAUUAAUACUGAACAAAAAAACCCCCAUGUAUUUAGCCAGGAUAUGACUGGAUGGCAGGAACUUGGUAUGAUAUAUAAGGAGAUUUUACAUUAAACUGUAUUAGUAACACCCUUAGCAAUAUUACUUUGACUACUUGGAGUACAAAGAUUGAUACUGCUGUUUUUUUAAAAUCUUGUUUAAUGUAACUGUGUGUUUUCACCCAGAGAUAUGCCUAACUCUGCUAGUACUUUUGGCCUUAAUUAUUCUUUGCAGUAAAUAUAGACAACUGGUGACUUUGGAACAUCUGUCCAAAUUUUGUCUUGUCAGGUAUUUCUAAUAAUGUCAACUUUUUUUUUUUAACUUGAUGGUCUCCAGUUUUACAUAUACUGUAGUAUGGUAAGUAGACCUACAGAAGCAGAGAUCCUUGAUUAUAAAUUUAAGGCCAGAAAAAAGCAGUAUUUACUUACCCUUAUGUCUUGUGUUACAUAGGCCAAGUAAUUUUACUACCAAGCUCUGGGAAAGAACCAGAUUCCUUAAUACUCUCAAUCUGAUGUACAGAUAUCAGGCUGAUCCUUAUAAUAUGAAAGUUCAGAAAUCAAGCAUUCAGAAAUUAUACUUAAAAUUUCAGCCUGGUGCAUUUACUGGUCUUGUUGUGGCUACACAGUAUGAUACAGCCCUGUAGCUGCAUGCUCGUGUCUUGCACCUCUUAAGUGGAAGGGAUUUUCUGUGAGCCAUGCUUGACUUCGAGAGCAAAGGACUUACAAGUCAUUAUACUUGUGUUUCAGUCGUGUUUCAAAGUGCAGAAUAGGUACUGAAGGCACAGAACUACAGGAAGAAAAAGGAAAGUAAAGUUAGUUUGUACUUCAAGUUAUGUGUACUGAAACAUUAUCUCUUGUUUCUGUGUUUAUUUUUAAAUAUUCAAGCUUUCUAACUUGAAGAAAAUAAUGGCAUUGAAUGUAACAUCAAAAAAAAAUUACUAAAAGUAAUUUUUUUUCACAGAAAAAGCUAUUAAAUAUUUAAUGAAAUAAAAGUGAUGGAUCGAUACUGUAGCAUUGUCAUGUCUAAUGGAACAUACACUGAAGAGAAUACCUGAAGAGAAUGUUACACCUAGAAGCCUGACUACUCUUAUCCAAAGACUUCUUCAAGGGAGGUCCCACACAGGUUUUCUAUCUGUGAAACUCAGGGAUAGGUUGCGUAUCUCCCAGAGUGAGCACACCGUAAAUCUGUUUAAGUCCUUAAACUUGAUUCUACUUUAAAAUAUAAGUCAGCUGCUUAAUCUGUAAUGUUUUUCUGCAGAAUAAACUGUAGAGAUUACAUGUACAGUUUCAAUUAAGUUUCUUCCAUGCGAGCUAUCAUAGUAAAUUAAAGAAUUAGAAUCCCAAGUGAACGUGUCCCUGAACAACCUGCUCUGAUUGACCCUGCUUUGAAGCAUGGGUGAAAUUAAAAAUAUUCAGUUGUUCAUGCCAACUUGAACUUCUCUUCCUCUGAUCCUGUGAAAUGCUGAUAGUUCCCUGAAUUAACAGAUGAAGCUGGUAGUCAUUGCUUUCAAGUUCACAUAUUCAAGUAGGCUGUUGAUAAACUCUAGAAUGUCUGCUGUGUUUAAGGGUUUGGUAGUUUUUGGGUGUGUCUUUUUUGCGGGGUUUUUCUUGUUUUGUUUUGUGUGGUUUUUUGUGGGUUUUUUUGUUUUUGUUUUUUUUUUUUUUUUGUUUUGUUAUGCUUAAGGCAUUUUGAUUUCUCCCAGUUAUGAGCCUAGCACACAGCUUUUUGGUAGAAUUCUAUUGCAACUCCAGUGUCACCAGUGCAAGUUAUGUGCUACAUGUACACACACACACAUAUUAAAAAUAAAUGAACCAACUCUUUAAGUUGUUUUGUAUUGUCCUAAUUAAUUUUUCUUUGUAAAGAGUAAGAAAGUAGACUUUUGGAUUCUGUCCAAUAUUUUCUUCUUGUAGACCUGAAUAUUGAGUUUCUUCUUUGUCUGUGUAUUUCUUGUGACAAUUCUGUGUUUAGUAGUUUAAUGUAAGCAGUUGCUUAAGUGGGCGCCUUAAUUUGUUUAUUCUGCUUCAUUUUCAUAUUCCUCAAUUUUUUAGGAAAAAUAUUUUCUACUUAAAUAUAAUAUUCACAAACUACAAUGCAAAUUAUUUUAAAAAAUAAAACACAAUAUGAUCUACAUAGAGGCAUAUAUUCCUGUUAGUAAUGUUGCUUAUACAUGUAUAUGUGUGUAUCUGUGUACCUCAUAACAAAACUGUCUAAUUUGUUGUAUUUUACUGUGGCAUUAAGUAAACAGUUUGAAAGAAAAGCUUAUUUGUUUAAGUGUAAUGAAUAUGUGUAUGGACUUUGGUAUGUAGUUCUGAAACAGGAUUUAUAUGGUUUCAGUAGACUUCUGGAAAAUAACUGGCUUGGUAUCUUAUGAGCAGGUAGAUAAGAGCAAUUUCUUGGUUUUGUGUGCAUGUACAUAGUACAUGCAUGUACUUUACAUGCAGUAGUUUACUGUUUAGUAAACCAGUAGUAUCCAUUGGCCACUUUAGACCCAGUCUCUAUAGUGAAAACCAAAACCAAGUGUAAUGUUAAAAAAAUGAUAUUUUAUUCCAAAAAUGUGUUGCUUAUUUAUAAUGUAAGUACUUCAGUGCUUUAGUGAAGGUUUCUUUCUUGAUGUUGGCCAUAAUAUACAGUGGAAUUCUUUGUAUUUGCCUUUUAUGUGUGAGAGCUGUGUGAAAAGUGCUUGUCCACAUUCAGAUGUCUGUAAAUAUUCCAGGACUAGUCUUAAUAUUUCUGUAUAAGUAGGAAAGCUGCAGUGAGGCUAAGGAUGUGUACAGUGGGAGGACAGGUAUUGAAAAGCACUUUGCCUCUGUACCUGCUUUAAAAUCUGAACUGAACUCCAGCUAUGACAUUAAUAUCAGCCAAAGCUAUUUAAACAGUAAAUCUGCAUGCAGAUAUGCAUCCAAAUGGAAAGGUCAGUAUUGUUUCUUCCUCCUCCUUUGCUGUAAAGCAAAACAAAUAAGGUCCAGUCUCUCAUUCUCUGUGUUGAAAACUUAAAGAUGACUUAGUAUAAAGGGACCUGGGGUAAAAAGCCAAAGGAGUUUUGACAAUAUGGGAGUCUCUUCAACAGGAUAUUAUGAUAUAUUAUGAUUAAGUUGAAACAUGUUGUUUGCCACUUCUAGAGGAGGUACACAGCUGGGGUCUGGAAGGUACAAGAGAACUCAAGUUUGCAAAUGAGUGCUGCAUUUGAUCCUGAUGUAGCUGCAAGCAGUACUUUCAAGCCAGAAAGAACGUGGAAAUACAUGUUUUCCUUUACUGAAUAGAUUUUGUCAUAAAAAGGCAAUCAAAACCCAAAAUAAAAAAAAAUCAAAAUGUAUUGAGUAGAGAUUUGAAAUAAAGACAUAGUUUUCAUUGUAGAACAGUUCUCCUCGUAGUUUGGGUCUUUUGAUUAGGUAUUUAUCCUACUUAAGUAUAGUAUAUUAUAUAGUAGUAUAUAGUUCUUACAAUAAAAAAAGAUUUCUAUGUAUUUCAUAAUCUCAUAGAAUAGUUUAGGUUCAGAGACCUUUUGAAGGUUUUCAGGCUGAAGCUCCUGCCAUGAGCAGGGAUGUCUUCAACUAGACCAGGUUGCUCAGAGUCCCAUCCAACCUGGCUUUAAAUGUUUUCAGACAGAACAUCUGACUCUUCUCUGGGCCACCUGUUCCAGUGCCUCACUGCCCUCAUGGAAAAACAUUUCUUCCUUGUAUCUAGUCUGUAUAUGUAUUCUUAACAGUUUAAAACCAUUAACCCUUGUCUUAUCACUAUGGACAUGUUUGGUGUGCUUCUGUUGUUUUAUAGGUCAUUUUAUUAUUAUCUAAGCAUGUCAGAUAUCAUAAAAAAACAUCACACAUGAAAUACUUUUUUAGAAAAAAAUUUUGGGCUGUAAUGGUCUUGACAAUGUUGUUUGUGGCUGAAAAUAAGGCUUGUCAAUGUUGGCACACUGUAUCAACUCGGAAAUUGGCAGGAUAUUCAUAGGCUCAGCUCCAGUAUUCAGUUUACACUGUAGAAGAAGAGCUGACUUGGCUAUAUUCUAGGGCUUGACAGGCAAAAAAUAGAUCUGUAGUGGUUGGUGUGUUUUGGGGUUUUUUGUUUGUUUGUUUGUUUUUUAUUUUAGCUAUACGUAGAGGGUGAAGAUUUGAUUUUUUAGGUUGUGAUCCUCAUUUAUGUGCUACAGGUAUUUUUUAAAUCCCAGACUUGGAAAUCCGUUGUAAUACUGGGUAUCUGGUGCAUUACAAUAAGAAAACAUGGGCUUGAUUUUGCCUAUUGUCUCUCAAGAAAUGUUUAGAAUGUCCUUGAAAAGUGUUUGCAUGAGAGGAGGAUGGGAAAAUGAUCUUAAACUGUGAAGACUAAGACAGGUUUUGUUGCUGUUUUCAAUUGCCCUUUGUGGUAGUUUAGAGAAGGUAGAGCCAGGCUGUUCUCCUUACUGAUAGGCAGGGAUGGGAUUUAGAGGUGAAGGACAUGUUACAACAUGAAAACCCUGAUUAAGUGAAAUAAAAACAAUUUCUUGUGUGAGUAGACAGUGUAAUGGGUGUACCCAGACCAGGGGUUGGAAUCUCUGUUCCUAGAGAUACUUAAAGUUUGACUGGGCAUGACUGUGCAAACUUUUGGAAUUGGACAUGCUUUAAGCAGUGCUUAAGACUAGAGGACUUCCAGAGGUUGUUUACAAGCUAGAUUUAUUUUAUGAUUAUAUGGAAAAUUAAUAUUAAAUAAGAGACUUUGCUAUAUUUAAGGAACACUAGGGAGUUUUUAAGACCUUGUUCACAAAAUAGUUUGUGAUAGUAUUUUGUGUAAUUUGUGAAUGUAAACUACAAGCUUUAAGAAUUAGAUUUGGUACUGUUUUGUUGAGGAGCUUACAAGAUGUUCACUUGUUUCCUAAGUCAGAAUAUGCAACUAUCCAUUAUUUGCUAGCAUAUUUAAUCAGCAGGUAGAGGAAAUACUUGAGGGAGAAUGAUACAAUAAAUAAGUAAUUUUCUUUUCAGAUGUAACACAAAUGAUACAUAAUUACAGAAGUUGAACUGCAGAAUAUGUUGGAGAAAAAUUAUGUGUCUUUAUGUGUACCUUACCACAAACACAUAGAUCUGUGCACUAGUUUACAAAUCUAGAAAUUGUUGCUAAGUGCCACUACCAGACUAUGAAAAUUGCUUUCUAGUCUGGUUAAAAAGAAUAUAGAAUGGAGGAUAGACAAAUUUUUUGUAUCUUACAAAGGUACUCUCCUUUUCUGUGGUGGUUGUCUUACUGUCUCCCUUUAUCUCUGUGCACAGUGGUUUCGAUGUAGUAAUUUCCCUAUCUCAUAGGAGUAAAUAAAUCUGUUCUUGUGUUGAUCAUAAUAGCAAAGAGUAGACGAAUUCUACCUCCUUUCUUUUAUCGGUAGGAUUUUGUUAGAAUUACUCGGCAGGGCAGCUUAGAGACAUAUUUCUCCUCUGAGCCUUUAAAUGUUUUAGCACUGAUGCUGCUGAGGCAGCUCUUUAUUUUUUUAAAUAGUUUUAAAUUUCACUUCAUAGUGAGAAGACCAGGUGCUGGAGGAAAACACAAUCUCAGGCCAGUUAGGCUGGUGCAGUGCUAUCCACUUUUGGAUCUAACAGUGUUGUUGGAGCAUCUCUCCUAAAAUCUGAGAGAGAUGCUCUAGUAGAGGAUUUAGGACAAAAUGUAAUUUGUUCAAAGGUACUAUAGUUUUCCUGCAGUAUUUCAAAGUCCACAGAGAAAGCUGGACUCUGAAUGCGGAGGCUUGGCAAAAGGAUUCAGAUCCAAACUGACCUCACAGUACAAAGCAGAUGGGUUCUCUCAAAUAUUUAAGAGGGAAGAUUGUUGUUUUCAUGCAUUUGGUCAUAGCUGUUGGCCUGGAAAACAUUUUGCUUUUUCGCUUCUAUCAUCAAAGCAAACUACACCUGAUCCUGACAAAAAUGACUAGUUGAGGAUGGGAACUCAAUCUGUCUUUAAAGUAUCUCUGAGAAGAAAUGAACUGAAAUGUUAAUGUACUCAAGUGCCCUUUUCAGGCCAUUGUUUUUCUUUUCAGCAGAAGGAAGGUGGUACAUAUAGGCCGUUGGAAAUAAAGAAAGAUAGUCUUCAGCUAUGAUUGCAGUUCAUAUAUAAAGUCUGUUAUUACUGUGCAUUUCCAUAGACUGAAAAGGGAGUUGGCAUCUGGUCUUAAAUGUUAGCUGUAGUUGUUUUUAUUUUUGAAUUCGCUGCAAAGAUUUGGUAUGUUGCUUUAUUUUUGUAUCUAGCACAUUGACAGCCAUGACAUUCUGCUGCUGCUUGUUUGUCACUGUAACUAAGACAACUCGACAUGCAGAGUUUGCAGGUAAACACACAGUAAGGGCACUAAUGAUUUGAUCCCUGGUCUUGGUAUGUAACUUUUUUAUUGCAAAACUUAAAUGAGAGUGAAAGGCAAUGGUAAGUGCAGUAUUUUAGAGAUUAGUUUUAUGAUAGAUCAGGAUUUUCUAAAUUGUCAUUAACACUGUGUCUGUUGCAUUGAGUUGUCAUUCUAUAUACGUAUAACUGUUUUUACUACCAAAGUGCUUCUGGUUUUAGUUGCUGUACCCUUGAUAGCUGCAAAACCUGUGCUCUUUACACAACAAAUUGGAAUCAAAUAUUAGCGUCAACAUUUCAAGGAAAUUUCAGCCAAAGAGGACGUGCAGACAGAAAGUCUGAUCCUCAUUCCACUUAUAUAGUGUACUUCUUUCAGAAUCAGCAUGGAAUUAAAUUAACAGAAUAGUUAUCCAUAAAGUUUUCUUUGUACUCUCGUUUCCCUAUUUGGAAAUGGGAGGUCUCAGCUGCUUUUUACCAGAUCAGUCUCCUCUGUGCCAAGCUUCACUUGGGCAGGGAAUCUACUGGCAGACUCAUAUAGUGCCUUGCUGAAUUUGACAUGCCAUAUUUAAUAAACUGUAUUUGGAAAAAUACUUCAUUUUUAUAGCAGCAUCACUGUAAUAUGGAAAGAAGAGAAUGUGCGUGAUUAGUGAUAGAAGCAUUAUUUAGUGUUGCUCUUUUAAUAAGGCAGGUUAUGCUACUUGGUAUUUCUUCAUGAAGUGAGCUCUGAAUACAGAUUCUCUGGCUUACACAAACAGUAAUGGCAAGUAAUUCCACCCUCUUUCAGCUACUAAAAGAUCAGUAAUUAUUUUUAGUGUUUGAGUUUAGGAUAGUAUGAAAAAUUCAACAAUAGGUAGGCUGGAUAUGCUCAACAAAUCAUUGUAAUUAGUUGUAUGUCAAAGUCUCUUUUCUGCAUACUUUAAGUGUGACUUUUUUUUUUUUUUUCCUUAUAGUGAUUAAAAUAAUGGUGAAACUUGGCCCCAAGGUGAGAAAAAUAUUUAGAAAAGCCUUAAUGGGCUUAUGUGGAUUUUGGGUCAAGUCUGUGGGGAAAUGUUCCUGAAAUCUAGGCUUAGAAACUUGAUAUAGUAAAAUGGAAAAUGAGGUGAGAUGAUUUUCACUAGGUUUGUUUUUUUUUGAUAGCAUACGGCUAUGAGGAUUCUUACAGGAAUGUAGAUUGGGGUUUAGAGCUACUAUAAAAAGAACAUUUAAUUUGAUCUUCUAUCAUUUUAGCUCAGUUUAGGCUUUUAACAAAGAUAAGUCUCAUUAAAGUACUACAGAAAAUUGCUGAACCAAAAAGACAAUAGCUUUUUGUGCGAAGGAAUAGAGAGUUCUGUAUUUUGUCAUCCUUAGUAUAGAGCAGCGCAGGGCUUAACUCAGAAACUAAGAGUGAAAGAAGAAUUAGGAGGAGGCUGAAGUUCACAAAUUGCCUUCUGUUUGGAAAGAUCCCAAAAUAAAUUGCACUGUAUGUUGUACAAAUGAUUAACAUUUGGCAACAUUGAAAUUAAUCUCAUUUUGGGGCAGGAUACAGCAGGUUUUUAGUGCUCAGCAAUAAAAUUCUAUUUUAAGACAAAUUGAAGACUCUCACUAUUUUUGAAGCACAGGGAAAACUCAAGAAUGCAGAAUGCAAUUUCCUAAUUGAAUACCAAAAGGGCUCAUCUUCCUUUUCAGGGGUAUGUGUGCAUGUGCAUGUGUGCAGAGUUGUGUCAGUUGUAAUUGCUGCUGCUAAGAAUUUAGCCCAAGUAAAAUAGUCAAGUCUUUGGUGUUAAGUCCCUCAGAAGUAAAAAUGCUUCUGACAGCAUAGUCCUUUCUAAUACACUGCUCCUCUGUGAGUUCAGCGUGGACUUGGUGUGUCAUGUACUGAAGCAUCAGCAGGGUUUCCUGCAGCCAGUGGGAUUACCCUUUGUCACUCAUCCUGGCAAGGUCUGAAUCUGCUAGGUUUGAGAUUAAAGUCCAUAAUAACCUGACAUUAAGACCUGAGAGACUGAGAUAACAGAAUGUUCUUGUAGAUGGGAAAGGAGGAAGAUGCUAGGGGUGCAGUAAGGUUGUGGAAGUAGCAUGAUGUAAUUUCUUUGACUGUUAAGUAGUAAUUUGUCUUGGUCAUAGUAUUUUAUUGUAAUAGUUCACAGAUAUUUGGUAUUGGCAGUUUGCAGUUAUGGUCCAAACAUUGUGAUAAACAUGGCUUUCUAAUUUUGCUGUGUGUAAACUAGUCCUUUAGUCAAAUCAGUGAAAGCGAGUUAGCAUUCAAACAUUUACCUUGUCUAAAAAUAUUUCUGCUGAUGUCCUUGAGAUCUGGAGAAGCCCUAAAUACUUAAAUAAGUAAAAUGUAACUUUUAGAGAAAAAAGUGACAAAUUUUAGGAAGAUAGUCAAAUGAUAGCAACUAAGAGUAAAGAGUAGGCGAUUAGUUAAUUUAAUUUGGAGACGAUGAUAGAGUCCAUUAGAGCACAUUGUAAGAUGCUGCUGCAACAGGGAUACCAGCCGAUAGAUUUUUUUUUUUCUUUCAAAAGUUUCUAGUCUUAAAUUUAGGGUAAUUUUUCCUUCAUCAGUUCCCAGCACAGGUAAUGAGACUUUGUUUGCUUGUGCUUGGUCUUUGCUGACAUCUCUUAUGUAGAGCUUUGUCCUGUCCUGUUUCAUGUUCAGGAUGUCUGCCAUCAGAGGAUCUUACACCAAUGCUCUGGAAACCAUUUAGGAAUGGCUUGCUUCUUGAUCCUUGCUUUGCUCUUCAAUAAGGGAUGCAUUGCAGGGCAUCUUACAGCACCACAUGCUGAAGUUGAUUGGAGGUUUUCCUAUAAAGCAGGAACUUCAUAAUAUAGUGCAUUUGACAACAUAUUUCAGAAUAAUGCAUCUCUAAGAUCUACAAGAAAUGGGUCAAUUACUUUGAGAUAAAUCUAGAUUGCAUGUGAGAAUAAUUCCUUCAAGAAAUUCAGCCCUGGGUGAUAUACUUCUUUAUUAUCCUGUGUGAAUUAAUUAAAAGAAUAAUGGCAGUAUUUCUAAACUUCCAUUUGUGCUUAAAAUCCUGUAGAUUCCUUUACUGAUCUUUUGAAUACUUUUAUUUAUUUCUUAGGCUUCAUCAGUAAAAAUUACUGCUUUAGGAUCUGAAAAAUAAUAUUGUCUUAUGGAGCCCUGCAUAUUGAAUUGUUCUUUUUCUGAGUAGCUGCUAUUGCUCACAAUGAGAAUGAAGCCAGUCUUUGCUCUUAACGAAAAUGAAUAAUGAUUUUGUUUUCUUUAGAAAAUAAAUGGAAGAUUGGAGGAGAAUCAUUCUUCAGUGAUUUCCCUGAGGAAGACUAUUCUGAUGUAGCAGAUUUGACAGAUAGCAUUUAGUGAUUAAAAACAGCCAUGAAAACACACGGCGCUGAAGUGUGGUUUUGUACAUAUUGUCACCUCUGCUCAAUAAUGAUGUUAAGGAUGCCGUUAAGGGUAGUAUCUCUGUGUAUAUUUAGGAGAAAGAGAAACCUUCAGUUUCUUUUUCCUGGCUUGCUGAGCUAAGAUGUGUGUAAAUAAGGAGAUGAUGCCUGGUACAUUUUCAAUGCCUAAGAGAAGAGCACUGUAGGACCUGACUUAGAGAAACUUCUUUAGGGCUAUUUCCAAACAUUUGGUCUAAAAUUAGGGCUAGAUCAGCUUCUCUGGAAAACAAAGGAUUGGGAGGGUAAAAUAAAUGUGUCACAUAUACAGAUUUCUUGCUACAUGUGGGAGUAUUAAUAGGGGAAGCUGCACCAGUCUGAACCCUUUUUGCUACUGCUGCCCUGCAGUUAGGAAGCCUCCAGCUGCAGUUUGAAAGACCGAGGAAGGCCACUGUUUCUCAGCUAUUUUAUGGGCUCUGUAGAUGCACAGUAAGUAGGGUGUUUUGACUCAUGUUUCUCUGUAACAUAUCCUGAUUUUCUUGGUAUUUUUAAUACAUGUUAAUGAAUGAAUAUAAAGAGUAUCUUAGGUAGUAUUUACUUCAUGGGGGAGUUUCUUACAUGUUUUUCACCACACGUGGUUAAGAUAUCAAAAGAGCCUUAACUCUCCAUAACACAGGCAUAGUGGCUGGAGUUAGGAAACAAAACAUCUGUGAUUUCUUUCAAAUUAUUUUACUUCUAUUUGGGAUUCCUAAACUUCUCUGUCAGUAGGAUUUAGCCUAAACUUCUUAUCUUGUUUAUCCACCUGGUAUCACGAUACAUCAUGUAUUUUACUUGAAACUUUGCAACUCUCUUGCCUUAACUUAGCAUAGCUUUUGUCAAGGGAGGAAAUAAUUGGAAUGUGCAGUGUUGUCAACAUUUUUGCUACUUAGUAUUUGCAGAUACAGUAAUAAAAAUGUCACAAGACAGGUGUUUCUUAAGGAAUGAGGAAAAACACCUAAUCAUGGAUGUGCUAGAACUGGUGUUUGAAAAAUUGGAACAUUAGAAAGCUUCUUGAGACAGCAGCCUCUCUUGAUUUGUCUGAGAAAUAUUGUAGUGUUAUAUUAAUCUCUACUAAUAGAAACAGAGCUUUUCUUGGAAAGGAAUUAUCUGAUGAGGGGAAAGUCAGAAUAGGUAGAGUAGUAUAACAAUAUUGUAAAUUUUAGACUUAAAUUUCACUUUAAAUAUAGGUUGAAUGAGCACAAAUCUUAUCAUUUUUUUACUAAAACUGGCGUGUUUUUUAAAAUAAGUUGUAGUUGUGAAGUACAUUCUUAAGGAGAUAUGUACUUCACAACUACAGGAAUUUAGGCUACUAAAGCCUAAAUUUCUUCUUAAGCACAUGGGACAUUUGGCUUGCAAAUAUUUUUCUAAGAAAUGAACCCUGACUUGGUUCUGUUUAAACAAACAGACUAAGAUAUGCCAGUGAAAUCCCUUUAAUCUCAGAGUAACUAUUUCUUUUCAGUGAGACAGCUGAUCUUUUCCAAAUGUAUCUAAUUGUUAAGCCUGAUUCAAAAAUAUAUUGCUUGCUGAAAUUUGUAUUUUCCCAAAUCACUGUAAAAUACCAUUACUGUACUAAAUCACCUAUUACUCUGAAAUCUGUAUGUGCUUCUUGUGUCUUGUUCUUCAGUUUGCUAAGUUUGUGAUUUUCUAAUGAUGGCAAGAAGUGUGGGAAUUUCUUUGUAUCCUACCAAUCAAAAGGGAUGAGUGAGUUACUUAGAGUAUAGUUCUCUUUUUCUUACCAUCCUUAUUUUCUCUUUUCUGUAUACUUCUUCUCUUAUUGAUGAUAAACUCAUGACAUCUUAUUUAAAUUCUUUAAUUGUAGAUAGGAAUUAUUUUCUUAGUAUCUGUGUAGCACUCUUGAACUGAGACCAGCAAUUUUAACUACUUCCCUCUGUUAAGCUGCCUACACGUUAUAUACUUGUGGUUUUCCAUUUUCAGUUGACACAUCUGUUCUUAUUUGCUUUGUAAUGACAAUAACAGUGUAAUUACUCCCUCAUAACAUUUUGAAUUCCUUAAUUUCUUCAGUUUUGGACUGUUUUCACACUAGGGUGUUCUUUGUCUCCAUGGCAGUGAGGGGUAGACUAGAACAUUGUCCUGAGUCUUAGUGUGAGAGACUUUUUUUCUCCUCUGCUGGGAGAAACAUAGCAAAAUUCUGUCCAUGCAUCUGGCAUGAUAUAGUGGAUCUCAUUAUUGUCUUUGUAAUUAAUUUUCUCCAGGUUGGAAAACAAUCAAACAAAAGCAAUGUCAUCAAAAGUAUAGUAUCUGUAUUUGUAAGUGAUUCUAGGAUAUGCUAAAAAGACAUAAAUUUUCACCUUCCUGAAUAAAAAUUGUUGACUUGCACUUUUUUCCUCCUCUUGCUGAGGUUAGAUACGGUUGAAAAAAUGUUUUCCAAAAACUGUGUAAGAGCCAAGGCCUUUUCAAGCCCUUUUAGACAUUUAACAGACCUUUAAAACCUAGACUGCUACUGACACUGUGCCCUCCCUGUGUCCUUCACAUCUUACAGGGCUUCUGUCCUGAAUAUGACGAGUUUUUAUUGCUGCAUUGUAAAAAAAAAAAAAAAAAAAAAAAAAA
This is a long non-coding RNA of Motacilla alba alba, 40285 nucleotides long. RefSeq lists it as uncharacterized. Lineage: Eukaryota; Metazoa; Chordata; Aves; Passeriformes; Motacillidae. The record is from RefSeq and is a predicted model, not a curated record. The transcript has 2 exons.